Molecule: ribosomal RNA, 465 nt
Filed under: Vreelandella stevensii
Lineage: Bacteria; Pseudomonadati; Pseudomonadota; Gammaproteobacteria; Oceanospirillales; Halomonadaceae
Description: partial 16S ribosomal RNA
Rfam family: Bacterial small subunit ribosomal RNA
Source: RNAcentral
CCUACGGGUGGCAGCAGUGGGGAAUAUUGGACAAUGGGGGCAACCCUGAUCCAGCCAUGCCGCGUGUGUGAAGAAGGCCCUCGGGUUGUAAAGCACUUUCAGUGAGGAAGAACGCCUGGUGGUUAAUACCCAUCAGGAAAGACAUCACUCACAGAAGAAGCACCGGCUAACUCCGUGCCAGCAGCCGCGGUAAUACGGAGGGUGCGAGCGUUAAUCGGAAUUACUGGGCGUAAAGCGCGCGUAGGUGGCUUGAUAAGCCGGUUGUGAAAGCCCCGGGCUCAACCUGGGAACGGCAUCCGGAACUGUCAAGCUAGAGUGCAGGAGAGGAAGGUAGAAUUCCGGGUGUAGCGGUGAAAUGCGUAGAGAUCGGGAGGAAUACCAGUGGCGAAGGCGGCCUUCUGGACUGACACUGACACUGAGGUGCGAAAGCGUGGGUAGCAAACAGGAUUAGAUACCCGGGUAGUC